This 465-nucleotide ribosomal RNA is filed under the name uncultured bacterium. RNAcentral's name for it is "bacterial SSU rRNA". It matches the Rfam family "Bacterial small subunit ribosomal RNA", at positions 33 to 507 of the family's 1533-position model. The record is from RNAcentral.
AGGACGACGCUGGCGGCGUGCUUAAAACAUGCAAGUCGAACGGACUUCUCAUGAAGCUUGCGAUUGAGAAGUUAGUGGCGGACGGGUGAGUAACGCGUGGGCAACCUGCCCCUGAGCCCGGGAUAACAGUUCGAAAGGACUGCUAAGACCGGAUAUACUUGCGGGGAAGCAUUUCACUGCAAGGAAGGGAACGCUCAGGGAUGGGCCCGCGUCCCAUUAGCUAGUUGGUGAGGUAACGGCCCACCAAGGCGACGAUGGGUAGCCGGCCUGAGAGGGUGAACGGCCACACUGGGACUGAGACACGGCCCAGACUCCUACGGGAGGCAGCAGUUGGGAAUCUUCGGCAAUGGGCGCAAGCCUGACCGAGCAACGCCGCGUGAGUGAUGAAGGUUUUCGGAUUGUAAAGCUCUGUCUUCCGGGACGAUAAUGACGGUACCGGAGGAGGAAGCCACGGCUAACUACGUG